Molecule: microRNA precursor, 83 nt
Organism: Chlorocebus sabaeus (green monkey)
Lineage: Eukaryota; Metazoa; Chordata; Mammalia; Primates; Cercopithecidae
Source: Ensembl
CACAAUGUUAUACUGGGCAGCAGGAAGAGCUGUGUUGGGUGUAACUAACAGAGCUUUCUUUUUCUUCGAUGUGGCUAUUUGCA